This 301-nucleotide ribosomal RNA is filed under the name uncultured bacterium. RNAcentral describes it as "partial 16S ribosomal RNA". It matches the Rfam family "Bacterial small subunit ribosomal RNA", at positions 509 to 807 of the family's 1533-position model. The record is from RNAcentral.
CAGCAGCCGCGGUAACACAGAGGGUGCGAGCGUUAAUCGGAUUUACUGGGCGUAAAGCGUGCGUAGGCGGCUUCUUAAGUCGGAUGUGAAAUCCCUGAGCUUAACUUAGGAAUUGCAUUCGAUACUGGGAAGCUAGAGUAUGGGAGAGGAUGGUAGAAUUCCAGGUGUAGCGGUGAAAUGCGUAGAGAUCUGGAGGAAUACCGAUGGCGAAGGCAGCCAUCUGGCCUAAUACUGACGCUGAGGUACGAAAGCAUGGGGAGCAAACAGGAUUAGAUACCCCCGUAGUCCCUGUCUCUUAUAC